This 1345-nucleotide ribosomal RNA is filed under the name uncultured bacterium. Its description in RNAcentral is "bacterial SSU rRNA". It matches the Rfam family "Bacterial small subunit ribosomal RNA", at positions 28 to 1381 of the family's 1533-position model. The record is from RNAcentral.
GAUGAACGCUAGCGGGAGGCCUAACACAUGCAAGCCGAGCGGUAUUGUUUCUUCGGAAAUGAGAGAGCGGCGUACGGGUGCGGAACACGUGUGCAACCUGCCUUUAUCUGGGGGAUAGCCUUUCGAAAGGAAGAUUAAUACUCCAUAAUAUAUUGAACGGCAUCGUUUAAUAUUGAAAGCUCCGGCGGAUAGAGAUGGGCACGCGCAAGAUUAGCUAGUUGGUGAGGUAACGGCUCACCAAGGCGAUGAUCUUUAGGGGGCCUGAGAGGGUGAGCCCCCACACUGGUACUGAGACACGGACCAGACUCCUACGGGAGGCAGCAGUGAGGAAUAUUGGUCAAUGGGUGCAAGCCUGAACCAGCCAUCCCGCGUGAAGGACGACUGCCCUAUGGGUUGUAAACUUCUUUUGUAUAGGGAUAAACCUACCCUCGUGAGGGUAGCUGAAGGUACUAUACGAAUAAGCACCGGCUAACUCCGUGCCAGCAGCCGCGGUAAUACGGAGGGUGCAAGCGUUAUCCGGAUUUAUUGGGUUUAAAGGGUCCGUAGGCGGACUUAUAAGUCAGUGGUGAAAGCCUGUCGCUUAACGAUAGAACUGCCAUUGAUACUGUAAGUCUUGAGUAUAUUUGAGGUAGCUGGAAUAAGUAGUGUAGCGGUGAAAUGCAUAGAUAUUACUUAGAACACCAAUUGCGAAGGCAGGUUACCAAGAUAUAACUGACGCUGAGGGACGAAAGCGUGGGGAGCGAACAGGAUUAGAUACCCUGGUAGUCCACGCCGUAAACGAUGCUAACUCGUUUUUGGGCUUUAGGGUUCAGAGACCAAGCGAAAGUGAUAAGUUAGCCACCUGGGGAGUACGCUCGCAGGAGUGAAACUCAGAGGAAUUGACGGGGGCCCGCACAAGCGGUGGAUUAUGUGGUUUAAUUCGAUGAUACGCGAGGAACCUUACCAAGACUUAAAUGGGAAUUGACAGCUUUAGAAAUAGAGCUUUCUUCGGACAAUUUUCAAGGUGCUGCAUGGUUGUCGUCAGCUCGUGCCGUGAGGUGUUAGGUUAAGUCCUGCAACGAGCGCAACCCCUGUCACUAGUUGCCAUCAUUCAGUUGGGGACUCUAGUGAGACUGCCUACGCAAGUAGAGAGGAAGGUGGGGAUGACGUCAAAUCAUCACGGCCCUUACGUCUUGGGCCACACACGUAAUACAAUGGCCGGUACAGAGGGCAGCUACACAGCGAUGUGAUGCAAAUCUCGAAAGCCGGUCUCAGUUCGGAUUGGAGUCUGCAACUCGACUCUAUGAAGCUGGAAUCGCUAGUAAUCGCGCAUCAGCCAUGGCGCGGUGAAUACGUUCCCGGGCCU